This 77-nucleotide transfer RNA is filed under the name bacterium. RNAcentral describes it as "tRNA-Val". It matches the Rfam family "tRNA". From Rfam's summary of the family: Transfer RNA (tRNA) molecules are approximately 80 nucleotides in length. Their secondary structure includes four short double-helical elements and three loops (D, anti-codon, and T loops). Further hydrogen bonds mediate the characteristic L-shaped molecular structure. tRNAs have two regions of fundamental functional importance: the anti-codon, which is responsible for specific mRNA codon recognition, and the 3' end, to which the tRNAs corresponding amino acid is attached (by aminoacyl-tRNA synthetases). tRNAs cope with the degeneracy of the genetic code in two manners: having more than one tRNA (with a specific anti-codon) for a particular amino acid; and 'wobble' base-pairing, i.e. permitting non-standard base-pairing at the 3rd anti-codon position. The record is from RNAcentral.
GGGGAUAUAGCUCAGUUGGUUAGAGCGCUGCAUUCACAUUGCAGAGGUCCUGUGUUCGAGUCACAGUAUCCCCACCA